GUCACUCUCGAGAAAUUCCCAACCCCGUCCUACUGCAACUGCACACUAGGAUCCCUGGUGCCGGAGUGGUGACGCGCUGAGCUGUUCAACACAAGGGAACCGUCCUCUCUGCGGAAUGGGCAGAGGUCUCACAGCCAGGACCCCAGGCAGACCGCAAACCAUGGCUCCUGAGGCCGGACAAGACCCCGGGCCUCUGUCCAGUUCCCGCCGAGAGUAGGGCUGAAGGCCCUGGCCCUGCUCUCGAACCCUGCGGGAAAGCCGACAGCAACAAAGACAAGCACUCUACUGCCACUUGCUCCCACUCCUGGUGACUCCAUGUGGACACAGCAGACCUCCUGGGGCCUUCUGGAAGGAGGCCAGGCCAGGCCUUUCUUCCAGGGCACCUAUGGGUGCACUUGAACAUCCUCCUCAGUGGGGGAUAAAACCCCCUCUGAAAUGUUCUCAGGGCGAGCUCAGGGGGUGUCCCGAGUCAUCUUUUCUGAUACUGCGUGUCUCCCUUGCUCAUCUGAACAUUCGUGGUCCAGAGCAAAGCAUCACCUGGGACCCCACAGCUCAGAGAAGUCUCUCUCUGCAGCCCCCGCUACUCUGGGUGCCCCGCCAUUCCUGGACUACAGGCCACGACACCUCUGGGGGCAAUGGACAGGCUCCUGUAGGCAGAC
Molecule: long non-coding RNA, 659 nt
Organism: Echinops telfairi (small Madagascar hedgehog)
Lineage: Eukaryota; Metazoa; Chordata; Mammalia; Afrosoricida; Tenrecidae
Exons: 3
Source: RefSeq, a predicted model, not a curated record